This 73-nucleotide transfer RNA is filed under the name Caudoviricetes sp. RNAcentral's name for it is "tRNA-Asn". It matches the Rfam family "tRNA". Rfam says of the family: Transfer RNA (tRNA) molecules are approximately 80 nucleotides in length. Their secondary structure includes four short double-helical elements and three loops (D, anti-codon, and T loops). Lineage: Duplodnaviria; Heunggongvirae; Uroviricota; Caudoviricetes. The record is from RNAcentral.
GGAUCCUUAGCUCAGUCGGUAGAGCAGGUGGCUGUUAACCACUGUGUCCCAGGUUCGAUUCCUGGAGGAUCCG